This 1070-nucleotide ribosomal RNA is filed under the name Escherichia coli. Its description in RNAcentral is "partial 23S ribosomal RNA". It matches the Rfam family "Bacterial large subunit ribosomal RNA", at positions 144 to 1251 of the family's 2925-position model. Lineage: Bacteria; Pseudomonadati; Pseudomonadota; Gammaproteobacteria; Enterobacterales; Enterobacteriaceae. The record is from RNAcentral.
CACACUAUCAUUAACUGAAUCCAUAGGUUAAUGAGGCGAACCGGGGGAACUGAAACAUCUAAGUACCCCGAGGAAAAGAAAUCAACCGAGAUUCCCCCAGUAGCGGCGAGCGAACGGGGAGCAGCCCAGAGCCUGAAUCAGUGUGUGUGUUAGUGGAAGCGUCUGGAAAGGCGCGCGAUACAGGGUGACAGCCCCGUACACAAAAAUGCACAUGCUGUGAGCUCGAUGAGUAGGGCGGGACACGUGGUAUCCUGUCUGAAUAUGGGGGGACCAUCCUCCAAGGCUAAAUACUCCUGACUGACCGAUAGUGAACCAGUACCGUGAGGGAAAGGCGAAAAGAACCCCGGCGAGGGGAGUGAAAAAGAACCUGAAACCGUGUACGUACAAGCAGUGGGAGCACAGAGCAAUCUGUGUGACUGCGUACCUUUUGUAUAAUGGGUCAGCGACUUAUAUUCUGUAGCAAGGUUAACCGAAUAGGGGAGCCGAAGGGAAACCGAGUCUUAACUGGGCGUUAAGUUGCAGGGUAUAGACCCGAAACCCGGUGAUCUAGCCAUGGGCAGGUUGAAGGUUGGGUAACACUAACUGGAGGACCGAACCGACUAAUGUUGAAAAAUUAGCGGAUGACUUGUGGCUGGGGGUGAAAGGCCAAUCAAACCGGGAGAUAGCUGGUUCUCCCCGAAAGCUAUUUAGGUAGCGCCUCGUGAAUUCAUCUCCGGGGGUAGAGCACUGUUUCGGCAAGGGGGUCAUCCCGACUUACCAACCCGAUGCAAACUGCGAAUACCGGAGAAUGUUAUCACGGGAGACACACGGCGGGUGCUAACGUCCGUCGUGAAGAGGGAAACAACCCAGACCGCCAGCUAAGGUCCCAAAGUCAUGGUUAAGUGGGAAACGAUGUGGGAAGGCCCAGACAGCCAGGAUGUUGGCUUAGAAGCAGCCAUCAUUUAAAGAAAGCGUAAUAGCUCACUGGUCGAGUCGGCCUGCGCGGAAGAUGUAACGGGGCUAAACCAUGCACCGAAGCUGCGGCAGCGACGCUUAUGCGUUGUUGGGUAGGGGAGCGUUCUGUAAGCCUG